UACGUAGGUGGCGAGCGUUGUCCGGAUUUACUGGGCGUAAAGGGCGUGCUGGCGGUUUGUUAAGUGCAGGGUGAAAGCUCCCGGCUCAACUGGGAGAGGUCCUUGCAUACUGGCGAACUCGAGGGAGGCAGAGGAAAGUGGAAUUCCCGGUGUAGUGGUGAUAUGCGUAGAUAUCGGGAGGAACACCUGUGGCGAAGGCGGCUUUCUGGGCCUUACCUGACGCUGAGACGCGAAAGCGUGGGGAGCGAACCGG
RNAcentral lists this ribosomal RNA (253 nucleotides) under uncultured bacterium. RNAcentral describes it as "partial 16S ribosomal RNA". It matches the Rfam family "Bacterial small subunit ribosomal RNA", at positions 524 to 776 of the family's 1533-position model. The record is from RNAcentral.